RNAcentral lists this unclassified non-coding RNA (461 nucleotides) under Hevea brasiliensis (rubber tree). Lineage: Eukaryota; Viridiplantae; Streptophyta; Magnoliopsida; Malpighiales; Euphorbiaceae. The record is from RNAcentral.
UGGUCUCUCUCUGUAGCUUCAUUUCCUAUUAUUGGGUAUUAUUGUCAUUGAAUUUUGAUUUGCUUAGCAAUUUCCAUUUAUGGAUUCUUAGAUCUCUGUUAUUUGAUCUGUUUUUUUUCAACGUUUUUUUCCUUUUUUCUUUCAAUUUCUGUAAUCAUCACUUUUUGAUUCAAACAUGAUCACUCAUAACCCAAUAGAGCAUUUUCCUGCACUUUCUCGGGAAAAUUGGAUUGCCUUCUCUCUCUUCUCUCAUUUCUAUUAAUACCCAUGAGUUAUUUUUGCAUCUUCAGAUCUACUCUCUUGGCUUUGUGCUUCUUAUUCAGGAUCUAGCUAAAAUUUUACGGCUUUAGAUCUGGUCGCGUUCUAUAUCAAAAUCUCUCUAAUUUUUUCUUUUCUAGAUUGAAUGUGUAUUGUCCAUUUUUAGUGGAGGGAGAAAAAAGAAUGAAUUAUUUCCCAGACGA